GAAUCUGGCUUCAGGUUCGGGACAACAGUUGGAAACGGCUGCUAAUACCGGAUGUGCCCUUGGGUGAAAGAUUUAUCACCUGAAGAUGAGCUCGCGUCUGAUUAGCUAGUAGGUGUGGUAAGAGCGCACCUAGGCGACGAUCAGUAGCUGGUCUGAGAGGAUGAUCAGCCACACUGGGACUGAGACACGGCCCAGACUCCUACGGGAGGCAGCAGUGGGGAAUUUUCCGCAAUGGGCGAAAGCCUGACGGAGCAAUACCGCGUGAGGGAGGAAGGCUCUUGGGUUGUAAACCUCUUUUCUCAGGGAAGAAUGAUGACGGUACCUGAGGAAUAAGCAUCGGCUAACUCCGUGCCAGCAGCCGCGGUAAUACGGAGGAUGCAAGCGUUAUCCGGAAUGAUUGGGCGUAAAGCGUCCGCAGGUGGCAAUGUAAGUCUGCUGUCAAAGCGUCUGGCUCAACCAGAUAAAGGCAGUGGAAACUACAUAGCUAGAGUAAGGUAGGGGUAGAGGGAAUUCCNGGUNNNGCNGNGAAAUGCGUAGAGAUCAGGAAGAACACCGGUGGCGAAAGCGCUCUGCUGGACCUAACUGAC
RNAcentral lists this ribosomal RNA (587 nucleotides) under Scytonema sp. FB002. RNAcentral describes it as "bacterial SSU rRNA". It matches the Rfam family "Bacterial small subunit ribosomal RNA", at positions 122 to 744 of the family's 1533-position model. The record is from RNAcentral. Lineage: Bacteria; Bacillati; Cyanobacteriota; Cyanophyceae; Nostocales; Scytonemataceae.